RNAcentral lists this ribosomal RNA (776 nucleotides) under uncultured Flavisolibacter sp. RNAcentral's name for it is "bacterial SSU rRNA". It matches the Rfam family "Bacterial small subunit ribosomal RNA", at positions 8 to 796 of the family's 1533-position model. The record is from RNAcentral. Lineage: Bacteria; Pseudomonadati; Bacteroidota; Chitinophagia; Chitinophagales; Chitinophagaceae.
AGAGUUUGAUCAUGGCUCAGGAUGAACGCUAGCGGCAGGCUUAAUACAUGCAAGUCGAGGGGCAGCGGGGUGUAGCAAUACACUGCCGGCGACCGGCAAACGGGUGCGGAACACGUACGCAAUCUACCCACAACUGGGGCAUAGCCCUCCGAAAGGAGGAUUAAUACCUCGUAACAUCUUAGGGCGGCAUCGCUUUAAGAUUAUAGCUCCGGCGGUUGUGGAUGAGCGUGCGGCUGAUUAGGUAGUUGGCGGGGUAACGGCCCACCAAGCCUGCGAUCAGUAACUGGUGUGAGAGCACGACCAGUCACACGGGCACUGAGACACGGGCCCGACUCCUACGGGAGGCAGCAGUAAGGAAUAUUGGUCAAUGGCCGCAAGGCUGAACCAGCCAUGCCGCGUGAAGGAUGAAGGUCCUCUGGAUUGUAAACUCCUUUUGGGAGGGAUGAUACGGACAGUACCUCCUGAAUAAGCCCCGGCUAACUCUGUGCCAGCAGCCGCGGUAAUACAGAGGGGGCAAGCGUUGUCCGGACUUACUGGGCGUACAGCGCGCGCAGGUGGUCGGCUAAGUUCGUGGUGACAGCGUGCGGCUCAACCGCACACGGUCCAGGGAGACUGGUCGACUAGAGGCAUCGAGAGGGAUACGGAAUACCCGGUGGAGCGGUGAAAUGCGUAGAGAUCGGGUGGAACACCAGCGGCGAAGGCGGUAUCCUGGCGAUGACCUGACACUGAGGCGCGACAGCGUGGGGAGCAAACGGGAUUAGAUACCCUCGUAGUCC